RNAcentral lists this ribosomal RNA (497 nucleotides) under uncultured bacterium. Its description in RNAcentral is "partial 16S ribosomal RNA". It matches the Rfam family "Bacterial small subunit ribosomal RNA", at positions 28 to 507 of the family's 1533-position model. The record is from RNAcentral.
GAUGAACGCUGGCGGCGUGCCUAAUACAUGCCAGUCGAGCGAACAGACGAGGAGCUUGCUCCUCUGACGUUAGCGGCGGACGGGUGAGUAACACGUGGAUAACCUACCUAUAAGACUGGGAUAACUUCGGGAAACCGGCGCUAAUACCGGAUAAUAUAUUGAACCGCAUGGUUCAAUAGUGAAAGACGGUUUUGCUGUCACUUAUAGAUGGAUCCGCGCCGCAUUAGCUAGUUGUUAAGGUAACGGCUUACCAAGGCAACGAUGAGUAGCCGACCUGAGAGGGUGAUCGGCCACACUGGAACUGAGACACGGUCCAGACUCCUACGGGAGGCAGCAGUAGGGAAUCUUCCGCAAUAGGCGAAAGCAUGACGGAGCAACGCCGCGUGAGUGAUGAAGAUCUUCGGAUCGUAAAACUCUGUUAUUAGGGAAGAACAAAUGUGUAAGUAACUAUGCACGUCUUGACGGUACCUAAUCAGAAAGCCACGGCUAACUACGUG